RNAcentral lists this small nuclear RNA (204 nucleotides) under Zalophus californianus (California sea lion). Its description in RNAcentral is "U2 spliceosomal RNA (ENSZCAG00015024398.1)". It matches the Rfam family "U2 spliceosomal RNA". From Rfam's summary of the family: U2 is a small nuclear RNA (snRNA) component of the spliceosome (involved in pre-mRNA splicing). Complementary binding between U2 snRNA (in an area lying towards the 5' end but 3' to hairpin I) and the branchpoint sequence (BPS) of the intron results the bulging out of an unpaired adenosine, on the BPS, which initiates a nucleophilic attack at the intronic 5' splice site, thus starting the first of two transesterification reactions that mediate splicing. Lineage: Eukaryota; Metazoa; Chordata; Mammalia; Carnivora; Otariidae. The record is from RNAcentral.
CUCGCUUCUCGGCCUUUUGGCUAAGAUCAAGUGUAGUAUUUUUCACAGUUCUGAAGGAUGAGAAGUCUCAGAUUAAGGCAUGGGCACAGUGGGUAUCUGGUAAGGUCCACUUCUUGGUCCAUGGAUGUCUUUUGGCUGUGUCCUCAUGGUGGAGCUCUCUGGGGUCUUUAGGACACUAAUCCCCUCAUGAGGGCCCCAGCUUCA